RNAcentral lists this ribosomal RNA (253 nucleotides) under uncultured bacterium. Its description in RNAcentral is "partial 16S ribosomal RNA". It matches the Rfam family "Bacterial small subunit ribosomal RNA", at positions 524 to 776 of the family's 1533-position model. The record is from RNAcentral.
GACGAACCGUGCGAACGUUGUUCGGAAUAACUGGGCUUAAAGGGAGCGUAGGCGGGCUAACAAGUCUGGGGUGAAAUCCCGCGGCUCAACCGUGGAACUGCCUUAGAUACUGUCGGCCUCGAGGGAGAUAGGGGCAUGCGGAACUAACGGUGGAGCGGUGAAAUGCGUUGAUAUCGUUAGGAACUCCGGUGGCGAAAGCGGCGUGCUGGAUCUCUUCUGACGCUGAGGCUCGAAAGCUAGGGGAGCAAACAGG